Molecule: long non-coding RNA, 984 nt
Organism: Eufriesea mexicana
Lineage: Eukaryota; Metazoa; Arthropoda; Insecta; Hymenoptera; Apidae
Exons: 3
Source: RefSeq, a predicted model, not a curated record
UUUGGAGCUAACUAACAGCAAUAAUGCUAUCUGGAGUGAGGUAGAGGAAAUAGCAACUUUGUGUCACUACAAAAAUGUUGAAAAGAUUAUCUGCCUAAUAAAGGACAUUCUUUGGAACAGUUUUCAAUGGGAAAUGUAUGAUUAGUUUAAUGUGCAUCAUUAAGUAGUUGUAAAAGUGGAAUAAGCAGAAACUCUCGGUCAGAAAACCUGGCAAUGGUUAAAUAUGUUGUUCACAUGGGUUAAAUACAGUAUAUAGAAUUAAAAAUGCACGAACACGUCUGGCCCCGUGACGCUCCGCUGUUGGCCAAUACGAAAUGCAGGAUGUGUCGCAAGGAUGUCGCAAGGGAGCCGAGUGAGUACCAGGAGAGGCGAGAAAGAAAGGAUAACGAGUCCGGUUUUCCCACACGAGAAAUUACGCUGUUGAGCAGCCGUAAUAAUAACGAUCAACGCAAACGAGUGGAUUCUUUGUCGGCCGACCAGUGUGCGUUUUAAUAACGGCGAGAGCGGUAAUGAUCGACUUGCCCGAUCGAAAACGUCGGAUUGCACUCGUUGACAUUAUCUCCUGGCACCGAUGGUAGUAAUUACAGUCGAGUUUACUUCGAGUUUGCCUAGCCCUGGAUAAUGAAUGCGAUUGAACUCAAAUAUCAAGGAUUUUUCUUUUCUUCUCUUCGUACAGUUGUUCCAAGUCCAUUUUUACAUCGAGAAUGUUAUUUAUCCUUUAAGAGGUUAGGCCGUGAUCAGAUUCAUGUAUUGUUUGUAAUGAUUCAUUUCGUUCUUGGUUAUGUAAGCUUGUGAACUUGAUUGUAAUUUCAGUUGUAAAAUUUUGUUUGUUCUUUGUGUGAUCAGAGAGUAAGGUUCUAGGUGGAUUGUGUUAGUUGAUACUGUUUAGUAGUAAACUGAAAUGAAACAGCUCGUAAGAUGAUACAGGAUUUUAUGACAUCCUAUAAAAAUAUGAAAACACUUUACAUAAGUAGUUUUUUAAAU